This 448-nucleotide ribosomal RNA is filed under the name uncultured bacterium. RNAcentral describes it as "partial 16S ribosomal RNA". It matches the Rfam family "Bacterial small subunit ribosomal RNA", at positions 330 to 792 of the family's 1533-position model. The record is from RNAcentral.
GCCAGACUCCUACGGGAGGCAGCAGUGGGGAAUAUUGCACAAUGGGGGGAACCCUGAUGCAGCAAUGCCGCGUGAAGGAUGAAGGUUUUCGGAUUGUAAACUUCUUUUGUACGGGACGAAGAAAGUGACGGUACCGUAAGAAUAAGCCACGGCUAACUACGUGCCAGCAGCCGCGGUAAUACGUAGGUGGCAAGCGUUAUCCGGAUUUACUGGGUGUAAAGGGCGAGUAGGCGGGAUUGCAAGUCAGAUGUGAAAACUAUGGGCUCAACCGAGGGAGUGCAUUUGGAACUGUGCUGCUAGAGUGUCGGAGAGGCAGGCGGAAUUCCUAGGGUAGCGGUGAAAUGCGUAGAUAUUAGGAGGAACACCAGUGGCGAAGGCGGCCUGCUGGACGAUGACUGACGUUGAGGCUCGAAAGCGUGGGGAGCAAACAGGAUUAGAUACCCGCGUA